This 530-nucleotide long non-coding RNA is filed under the name Sarcophilus harrisii (Tasmanian devil). Its description in RNAcentral is "lncRNA (ENSSHAG00000028923.1)". Lineage: Eukaryota; Metazoa; Chordata; Mammalia; Dasyuromorphia; Dasyuridae. The record is from RNAcentral.
CUCUCUCUCUCUUCCUCCCCCUCCCUCCAGGUGACUGAUUUAUGUACACAUCGAAAGUCUAAUAUUCUCCCAAGUUAAAGACUACAAAACUUUUCCAAUCGGGAGGAAGGAAGCCUCGGAACUUGGAGAGAAAAAAAGGAAAGAAAGAGGAAAAAUCCCCGGAGAGGGCAGCUAAGGGGCUGCGCGGGCUCGUGCAGGGAGCCACCGGGAAAGGAGACAGGGAGAGAGCCGGCCUCUGGCUCUCGCAGUGUCCGCUUUGGCCGGUUUUUCUUCCUCCACCACCACCAGCAGCACCGGCACCGGUAGUUCGGUGGUAGCCGCCGUCUCCUCUCUACAGCGGCAGCCGCUCCCGGUGUUUCUCUCUUCCCUAUCAACUCCAGGCGUCCAGGCGCCGCUGGAGAGAGGACAGGGGAGCAGACCGCACACGGCCCACAAAAUAUAGGCAAAAAGGCCGAGAGAAGAAAAAGGAGAAAAGUUCAAGGAUGCAGCCAAAAGUUUUGGAACACUAUUUGGCUGUUUGAUUUUUAAGU